Molecule: unclassified non-coding RNA, 175 nt
Filed under: uncultured Herpotrichiellaceae
Lineage: Eukaryota; Fungi; Ascomycota; Eurotiomycetes; Chaetothyriales; Herpotrichiellaceae
Description: sequence contains ITS2
Source: RNAcentral
UCACCCCUCAAGCCCCUCCGGCUUGGUGUUGGACGGCCUGGUCGGGCGACCGACCCCUCCCAAAGACAAUGACGGCGGCCUGGUUCGACCCCCGGUACACUGAGCUUCUUGACUGAGCACGUAUCGGACUGAGUGGUUAACCGGACGCCGGUCCCCCCGACCUUAAUUUUUUCAA